Molecule: ribosomal RNA, 447 nt
Filed under: uncultured bacterium
Lineage: Bacteria
Description: partial 16S ribosomal RNA
Rfam family: Bacterial small subunit ribosomal RNA
Source: RNAcentral
AGCGAACGCUGGCGGCAGGCCUAACACAUGCAAGUCGAACGAUCCUUCGGGAUAGUGGCGGACGGGUGAGUAACACGUGGGAACGUACCUUUAGGUUCGGGAUAACUCAGGGAAACUUGGGCUAAUACCGGAUGUGCCCUUCGGGGGAAAGAUUUAUCGCCUUUAGAGCGGCCCGCGUUAGAUUAGCUAGUUGGUGAGGUAAAGGCUCACCAAGGCUCCGAUCUAUAGCUGGUCUGAGAGGAUGAUCAGCCACACUGAGACUGAGACACGGCCCAGACUCCUACGGGAGGCAGCAGUGGGGAAUCUUGCGCAAUGGGCGAAAGCCUGACGCAGCCAUGCCGCGUGAAUGAUGAAGGUCUUAGGAUUGUAAAAUUCUUUUAGCAGGGACGAUAAUGACGGUACCUGCAGAAAAAGCCCCGGCUAACUUCGUGCCAGCCGCCGCGGUAA